Molecule: long non-coding RNA, 12839 nt
Organism: Dromaius novaehollandiae (emu)
Lineage: Eukaryota; Metazoa; Chordata; Aves; Casuariiformes; Dromaiidae
Exons: 2
Source: RefSeq, a predicted model, not a curated record
CCGGGGCCGCGGCGGCGUGCGGGGGGGCGUGGGGCGAGGGGAGCGGUGUGGGAGGAGGUAGCUGACAUUCAGCGACCGGAGGCCCGAAAGCCCCUCAGCUUUUAGCGGUGCAAGCCGCCUCCCCCGCGGGCAGCUCCCUCGGCGCGGUUUGGAAGGGCGCCUGGCUCCAGCCGGGAGCCCUCCGCUCCCUGCAGGAUGAAUUAUUCAUAUUUGCUCGAAGCGUUUUUAAUUACCCGGCUCUGACUAGUGCAUACGGUGCCUGCUUACCAAUGAAAUGGGUAGGGGAAUCGACUCAGAGUGUGUUUGUGGAGACAUGCAUGUGUUUUGACUUCCUUUCUUGUUAUGUGCUUUGUUUUUGGCGAGGGAGUUAUGGUCACUUGUACAGUGCGUGAAUUGCCGUUUAAAUUCUCCUCCUAGCUGGCUGAAAACCAGCUCAGGUGUCAGAGUUGGGCACGUCUCCUCCGGGGAGACGAGAACAUGGGAAGUUGUAUCUUCUAGGGAGCCCGGGGUAGUUAACCGGACACGGCGUCUCCUCGCGGACGCGGUUACAGAUGGAUAAAGGUCGUGCCUCUUGUGUGCAGAAACAUACAUUGUUAUAACAGCCUCUGUAAGUCGUUAUUGCUUAGCAUGUAUAACUGUGUGUAGACGCUUUAUGCUGAUUGUAACUCUACUGGAGCCACUUAAUGAUGAACACACUGGCUAAAUUUAGCCCUGACAUAAACAGGCACAGAUGCACUAACUUUGGUGGAGUUAUUCCUGCCAUUGCUGGGAAGGAGUUUGGCCUGCAAGUCAAAAUCGGGAUAACAGGAUCCAGAAUGGGCGCUCUUGAAAAUGGCCAUGGUCCCACUUCAGCAAAUGUGAAUUCACGUAUGCCAGAGCUCUGUACAACAGGACAUCUGAGGAGUUUAAAGCACUUGAUGAAUAAACUCAUAUGAUGAAGAAAUAUUACAGCCAUUUUCUGGAUAGUGAAACUGAAGCAGAAAGAAGUUGUUAAGUGGCUCCUCCUUCAGAAAGGAGGAAAAAAACAAAAAAGCAGAUUCCAGAUUUCAGUCCUGUGCUGUGUAUCUCCUGUGCUUCUUCCCCUAGUUCAUGAAGGCCUUCAUAAUAUUUUGUAGUGCAGUUAAGAACAUAAAAAAUGCAUUCCUGGGCUGGCCCAAUGGUCCUUUUUAGCCCUGUUUGUCCCUGAUUAGCACAGGGUUUAACCUUAUAAUUGUCAGGGUCUCAGCUCUGGGUUCCAGUUCAGCCUAUCCUGUGCUGGGAUGUAGCUGAUGCAAGUGAAAGCCCUGUUAGUGGCAACAGGAGGCUGCUAUUUAGCAACAGGAUGUGAGCCUGACUGCUUUCUGCGGUCCUUUCCCCUUGCAGGCCCCUGGCAUCUCUCUUUCUCUCUCUCUCUCUUUUUUUUUUAAUGAUUCUCAUACAGAAUAAUGGGAUAGAUGGACUUGUGGUCUGACCCAGAAGGGCAUUUCUGAUGUCCUUGUUUUCCAGUAUGGCUUAUGAUUUAUCAGUUCAAAGGUCGGUGCAUGAGUUAGAAUGCUGAGUGACAAAGUUCCCUUUGCUCUCCUUGUCUAUCAGUUUUAACACAAGUGAAACAUAUCAAAAGCUACAGCUGAAUUAACUCUCCUUUAGAUUUUCAACCAGGUUUCUGUAGCAGUGGGUUUAACACUACUUUACCAUCUUCAUUCCUCUUCCUGCUCUCUUUUUCCUCCUUUUGUAAAACAUCAAUUUACAAAGCAACUUUAAAAAGAUACAAGAGGAGCAUUGGAAACAAUGUACUGCUUUUGUUGCAACAGGAUUACUGUCCCUUGUCUGGAGAAAAUACUUGAGGUUCCACCUCAUAGUGUAUUCAUUCACGAACGAGACUGAUGCAUCAUAAAACAGUGCUCUGUUCCUGUUACUGCUGAAAUCCUAGUACAGCACUUUGAGAUGUACCUAUUGUCCUGCUUGAAGAUGCAAAACAGUGACAAGAUGAUUUGUCCCUUAAAGAUGGAAAUAUAUUUAUUUCCUAUUCAAAUUCAACAACCCAUUAAAAAUAUGUAAAGUAAGCUUUGUUUGAAGGGUUCUUUUAUUGCAAAUAGUAAGUGCAAGAGGUAGAGGGUUUCUUUAAUCUCAAUUUACUUUAUGUUGAAUAACUGGUACUAAAUAUUUGAACCCAACAGCAGAGUGUUUUUAAGUUCUUAAUCCUUAGAAGAAAUAUUUAUCAUCUAUAAAUGGAUCAUCUUCAGUCAUCACUAACUUAAUUGGUAUGAUUUAGAACUGCCAAGGAAUAUUACUGUUUGGUAAUAGAGUAAAUAUUAGAAGCAUGAAUUUGCAUACAGUCUGCAUACUAAUAACAAUUCUAAGCUUAGGCUGUGAUUUAAAAAUUGUAACUGACUUGUCACAGGGAAUUUGAGAGGAAAAGCGUGUUUAAGAUGGUAAAGUGAGAUAAUAAAACUAGAAUUUGAAUAUAUGAAAUAGACCAAACAUAAACCAGAAACUUUUUCAGCAAGUAAUAUGCAAAGCUACUGCAAAGGCUGUACACAUUCCCCCGUAAAAUGCUGCAUGCCUGGACUUCUUCCCCGAGGAUGAGAAACGAACAAACAGCUCCAGAAGAAGACAGUUCUGAGAAACUGCUGUUUAAUUCUUCUUGAGUCACGUAUCUCUGAUUUGCUGGAGUGUCAAUAUAUUGGCAGUAUUUCAAAAAAUCCUAUUUCUUGUUUUUUUCCCUUCACGUGGCAUCAUCAGAUGCAUAAAUAUUUUUUUUUUUUGACACAAUAACACUACACUGGAAAUAACGUAAAAUCAGGGAUAGUUGGGGGAGGAUUUUUACUAGCCUGAGGCUAGUAAGCCUUUCAAAAGUGGCUAUUACUACAGUGCUGAUCUAUGCUUUCUUUUCUUUGUAGUUCUCAAAGAAUUAAGUUUUCACUUUUGCAUAAUGAAGCAGAUAGCAUCAGAAAACAAACAAGAACAGGAGAAGACUGUGCUAAAUUACUGGGGAAAGUACAAGAAAGAAUGAGAUAUAACGAAGCGUGCGCAAUGGGGACAAUGAUUUGCCUUUGAAACAACCUAUAAAUACGCUGCAAGCCACUUGCAAAACCACCACUAUCAUCACCAUCAAACUGGCAUUUUAUGUAUUUAUAGGUGGCAGAUUAAACAUACCAGCAGUUGUUCAGGAUAACUUGAGGUCAUAUUGCUUAAAGUCUCUGUGUCACAGUUGUUGUUCUCAUUCUGGGACAAGCUGCUGCACACUAGUAUUUUCCCCACUUUCUCUUUGCCUUUUUUUUUCUUUAAGAUAAAAAUCUAUUGUUUCUGAUUGUUUGAGGAAAUAUUUGUAUUCCUCUUUGGUUUUGAUAUGGGAGCAGAGAUUGAUUAAUUUCUAAAUGCUUCUUCCCAAUGACUCCUAUACUAUUUAGUUUUGAACUAAGUCUUGAGUGUCAUCUGUUUUAGAAUGAGGUUGUUUGCUCUACUGAUCUAGAGGUUAGUGUCACUGAGGCUUUCAGGCUUGUGUUAAAUGGGAAUAUCCCUAGAGAAGAAUAAUGAAGAUGGUGCAAGUGUGAAAGGCAAGAGGACAGAUAGGCAGAUACUGUCUAAAAGGAAAAUAAGGACUGGAAAUCUCCUUGUGUCUGUAGUACUACUGAAAAGCAAAUCCCUCUUUCCUUUAGUUUCACUAAUAGUUUGGUGUAGUCCAUUCCAGAGAGUUUUUACUGACAGCAGCCUCCCAUCAUGUUACUGUAGAUGGUGAAAUUGUAGCAUAUAGUGAUGGUGAAACAAGGAAGAUUUCAGGUGCAAGGGUUGGAUAAUUUGUGAAAUCAUGCUGGGAAUUUAUGGCAGAACAAAGAAUAGGACCCAAGUUCCGAAUUGCAGACUGGUGUUUCAAACCAUAUCUGAUAAAAUUUUAUGACUAUGCUUGCUGAGGUACACAUCUUCUUUCUUUUUGUUAGAGAUUUAUGAUUUAAAAAUCAGGUGUUCACACAUUCACUAAAACUGAAGGAAAGAAAGGUCACCACAACUGUGCAACAUUCAGAACCCAGCAUCUGUGUAGCCAACUGGAUGCUCAGUAGAUUAAUGAGGUUCCAGUCCUUGCAUGGACUCAGAGUGUGUUGCCUAAAUCCAUCCAGCUAUUGCUUUUCAGUACCAUUCAUAAAAGGCAUAUGGAUAUUCUCUAAUUUCUGACCUCUUUUAUCACAAGUCUCCUGCUGUAAUGCUGUACUCUUUUUGCUUUGAAAACCAUACUUUUAAAUUUGUCAGAAAACAUGUUAGCUCAUUUCUGAAGUUCUGUUACAUAUAGAGAGACAUGAUAUAAAAAUAAUCUGUCACCGCUAAGGUCAUAGAUCUACUACACUUCGUAGAAAUAGAAUUUUGGCAUUUGUUCUCCCUUAAACCUUGUAAAUACUAUGGUGGUUUUUUUUUUUUUUUUUUUUUUAACACAGUACAGGUAUUGCCUAUCCCCUAUCAAUUCCCACCUUGAUGAUGAGACAAAGAUUUUAGCCACAUAUCACCAGAAUGGGAAGGAGCACAGGGAAAGCCUGCUGUAUUGCAGGUGUCAGCAAGCUACUGUAGGGGCGCAAAGACCACAUGCAGGCAGAUUCUGAAUGGCAAGUAAGAGCUGGCACAGGGCCGAGAGCUGUGACAUAUUGAAAGAGGCAUCUGUGAAAGGCUGAGGAUCCCAAUUUCUGGCUGUCAUGGUCCUCCAAACUCAGUGGCAGCUGGGAGCCUCUGCCUUGGACAGAGGCAAGAUGCUGUCAAUAAGGUGAUUGGCAGUGUCUCUUUUUAAACACAGCAUCCCCUAGUUCCUGCUGAGUUUAUAUCAGCAUGCUCACCAUCUAAUCUCAGAAAUAAAGAUACAAUCUGGCAUGCCACUCCUGAAAGGUAGCAAACCGUUUACAGUGAUAACAACGUGGCAGAAGGCACUGGGAUCCCUUAAAUUAAUCCCAUAUUCAAUAAUCAUGCAUGACUAAAAAUUAUUUAUCUGUUCUGUGCAUCAGUUCACCAACUCAUUCUGUGUCUACAGUACCUCAAACAGUUGUUAGGAUGUUAUUUGAUAUGUAUAAAGCACCUGGCUAUCUCAAAAAGCAUUACACACAGGUAUUACUCAUCUGAACAGAAUUGAUUCUCCUUUGUAGAACUGUUGUUUCUAAAAGUACAUUCAGAAAUAUGUAGUUACAUUCUGCUCAGUACCAUCAGAUUUAGACUUACAUAAAGUAAGCAGAAUUUGCCUGAUAGUUUUUGAUUGCUCUUAAGAAAGAUUUAUAUAUAUAUGUGUGUGUGUGUGUGUGUAUGCAUUUAAUUUCAAGCAUCCAAUUUUCAUUUCUUAUACAUGAUUUAUAUAAGCACUGAAUGAGACCUGAUCAGUACAUAAAAGCUUUGCUGGGAUAGGGACACAUAAUUUAAGAGUGAAGAACGAAAUCAUGUUCCUACCAUAAUGUUAGCAAACAGUAGAAAAGACAGUCAUAUUUGUAAGAACUCCUUUUACUGAUUUAAAAACUUCAUCACCAUUUAGAAAGUUUGCACAUUGUCACUUUAUUUGGACCAGCAAAAUCCUUCCAUGCUUAGUCUGAAAGUCAGUUCUGAAAUGUCAAAUAAAAAUAUCCCAUUUUGAUUAGUCUGUUAUCCCAAAGAUAACAAGGAUCCCAAAGGAUACUAGAAGACAUUAUACAAACACACAGAGCAACUCUACCAAAUUUUAUAUAAACAAAACCAGAGCAACUCUACAAUAUUAUGCAUGGCAGAAAGAUUAUCAUCUUGUCAAAAGUACAUGGAAGAUUAAAGGAAGCAGAAUAUCCUGUAUAGACAAACUGGAUAUAAUGAUAUGUGUGUUUCUACUACUGCAAAAAAUUGCUGAGUGAUUUGUGAUGAUCAGUUUCUUUUUAAUCUCCUCUAAAAGACAGCGCCUUUAUACCCUCUAGCAGGAUUGUAUGAUAGUAGCCUGAUAUUGAGAAGUAGCAGAAUGAACCACCAGCAUAUCCAGCUUGUGUAAUUUUUUCUUUAGUGUGUAUGUAAGGAGCCCAAGACAAGUAGUGACCUCAGUCUAACUUCAGAAAAGAAGAAAUCAGUGUGAGAUCAUGACAAAACAGGGCACAAGAAGGCAUGAAUGCGGCUCUCUGGAGAAAUGUAAAAGACACUAUUGCACCAAUUACAUGCCAGUUUUGGAACUCCAUGCAGCCUAAGCCUAUUGAAAUAAAUAUUCAUAAACUGGAGUGAUGGGGCAGGCGCAUGCAUUGGAAUGAAGUCUGGAGCUGAAAUGCUGUGGUGGAGGCAGUAGGAGAAGAGAAUGCUAUAAACUGUCUGUGAUCCUCAAAUUAAAAAAAAAAAAAAAAAGUCUGGAAACAUUUUAAUGCCAAAACAUGUGACAUCUUUCAUUCCUGUUUUUCUUUUGUCCUUAAUUUUCCAUUUAAUCAAGUGAUUCAAACUUUUCCUAUUUGUGCUACCAGUUGUGGAAGCUGUGUUGCCUAAAGGCAUUUUUAUUUUGCUCCAUUCUAUCCUGACAAAUUCCUGCUUAUACAACAGCCUAUACCUUUAAUAACACCAGUACAACUGCAUCAAUACUAAAACCUGUAUUUCUUAGCAUCAACGAGGCCUGAGAGAACUUGCUGCAGCGCUGGGAUGUGGCAGGAGGCAAUUUAUAAGGAAUUAACUCUGACAGUCACUUUAUACAGCUGAUUUUCAAAGAUCUGGGCACUAAAGAUGUGUUAAUGAGGCUACUGAGGCUUCAUAAUUAAUUAUAUUAGCAUCUCUUUGUUACUCUCUAGAGCAGUAGUGCCUGGUUGACAUUUCAAUAGGAGUCUGGUAGUAUUCUUUGUUAUUAUUAUCCAGGAGUACAGUUAUACCUUAGCUCCCAGAGGGCAAUGUUGCAUGUAAAUGCCUCUGUGAAUUGCAAGAGUCUUUGGAUCUCAGUAAAAGCCCUUCAAGGAGACCCCGCUGGAUACUGAAUGGAUGUCAGUAAAAUUUCUCUAGUCUGGAAUCUCUCUUCAGAUAUGGACUCUCCUCCCCUUUCAUUUCUCCUUUCCCUUCCCUCCCCCCUUCCUUUCUACUGUGCUGGUCCUUCUCACAAGGCUUAAGAACAGCAAUAUCCAGUAUUUUCUGAAUGUUUAGUUCCAAACAUCUAAAGGAAGGAGUAGUGACCUGAACAAAAUAGUGAACAGAGUAAUCUGAAAAUAGCGAAUAUUUUCACGCGCUUGAAUUUCCAGUGCAAUAAAACUAAUGCUGCCAGAAGGAAUCACAGAAGUGGUGAGUCAGAUAAUAGAUGUACAAUUGUGGUGGGAGGGAAAUCGUCUCUACUUAUUUUUUUCCCCUCCUAACAAAGAGGUUUUGCCCCUCUUUGUAAAUGCAGAUGAAAUUAUUUUCCAGUCAUACCACUGCAAAAGCAAACAUGGAGUUGAAAGGUAUUUCCUUUGUAUGCUUCUGAGAGUAGUUAUUUCUGAAUCCAAAAGGGGAAAGAUGACCUUGUCACUGAUGGGAAAUUCUACUCUGAAAACUUUUACAUCACCUGAGAUGACAGUUCUGCUAUUUCAUAUAUUGGUAUGUUCCACUUGCUUGUAUUAAUUUAAACAAAGCUAAUGAAGAAAAAUGCUGGUUUUCACACUAGCUACAAUUGCAACUUUGUCAGGAUUAGGCUAAGUUAAGGGCACAGUUUGACAAACAUUUCCUCUAAGUAAACAAGACUUGGGCAAUCUGUUCCUUACCCUCUUCUCAUUUGUUCCUGCCUUCAAGUGAACCUCUUCAAUCCAACACUGUUCAUGCACCUGUAACAGGUCUGAGUUAAAAACAGAUGUUUUUAUGUGGAUUACUUAAUUGAAAUCAGUUUCCUGAUUCAGUUUAACAUGGAGCUGGACAAAAAAAUGCACUAGCACAAUUCAGGGAUAAUGCAACAGGGAAGAGAGGAGGAAUGUAUGAUAGGGAAUGCAUAGGCAGGGACUCCUACUAAAAAAAAAUUGUCAAACUAUGUCCUGAAAGACUUUACAUUCUCCCAAGCCAGAACCACCUUUCUGUUUUUUGUUCAGACAGCACCUUGCACAAAGGGACCUUAGACUCUGAGCUCUCGGGGCUCUCAGAGCUAUUGCAAUACCAACAAAUAAUAAGCGUUCCUACAGCCUGACACAAAUAACCAAAUUUCACUCGCAGAUCUUCAUCGCUGGCAACAUAUGCAGCAUUUUAUGUAGUCAGAGUUGGAGACUAGUUCUAUUCCUGAGUGCUGUCUCUGGCUCUAAUGAGGACACUGUUAACCUAUCAAUAAAAGAAUUACUUCCCACAGAGCUUUUUAUAUUUAACUAGAUUUUUUUAAUGUGCUUGACAUUCUCAGGUGAAAGCAACAAUAUGUACCAUGUAUUAUUAUAGCAAAAACCUGUAUAUGACAGAUUCCCAUAUAUUUUCCUCUUUUUUUUGUUUCACCUUUUCUGUCACUAUACUCCUACACAAGACUAAAGACACACGGCAAAUGUUUGAAUAAUGCCAACUUGAAACUAAAGAAUUUUAAAUAACGUCCUCACUCUUCACUGAGCAAUGUUCUGUGUGUUUAUUUUAAUCUAGUAUUUCCUGGAUCGAAACAGAGGUUGCUCCCCCUGAGAAUGCAAAUAUCAAUAGUUUCUCUCCAUAACAAGGGAAGUCUUUCAUGGUUCCCACAAAAACAGCUGCCACUUGGUAACAGGGAGAAUGGACAGGAUACACGUAGAGUAAAAUUGUAGUCUUCACUGCUAUUCAUGAGGGGCCAAAUCCUGAGGUGUUACUCAACCUUGUUUAAAAUUCAACAAGAAUUUUCCUGACUGAGGAGAAGACAAAUAAGAUUUUCAGGAAUUGGCCAGAAUUAAAAUCCUGGAAAGCAAACAUUUAUAAAUUCUGUUUGUGGAAAACCUGGCUCCCUCUUCAUUUUCCCAUGAGUGGAGAGGAGGGCGAGAUUAAUUUGAAAGUCUCCUUGCAGGAAAACCUGCAAAAGAACAAAGUAUAGUUUGUCCCAGACCUCUACAGUGUUCUACCCAACUGCUUAGUUAUCCUAAAACUUUGUAUCAGCAUUCAUACAAAGUUAUAAUCCUGUAACUUCUACCCAUUUUGAUCUCUAUCUGCUGUGUGUAGUUAGAAAGACUCCAUCUAGGACUAGACCUCUGCCCUAGCUGUGAUGCAAUUGCAGCCUUUCUUCAGACACCACCACUGAAGGAAGUGGGACUAGUAGCUAUUUCCCCAUGUGAAUUAUGUCAGGGCCUUCUACAUAGAAGUAUGGUUGGCCCAGCUCUUCCAGAAUAACUCCUAGUAUAAAUACUGCAGUAUUCCAGUUUGAAAGUGUCUUUAUUUGUGAUCGAAGAGGAAUACCUCUUCUUGUAAGUGAUCCAUUCUUCCAAUAAAUUCUCUUUAGAGCGUUCAUCACUCAGAAAGGUAUGUAGUAAAAUAACAUCCAUAAAGAACCUAAAUACAAAACCAACCGCAACAGAUACCAUGUAAUCACCAGAUGAUUCCAGGUAAACAACUUGUUCUUCAGCCAUUUACUACGAAACUGUUCAAGCUGUAUUAAAUUUGGUUAAAAUUCUUCCAUUGCCUCAGCACACAAUGGAUUGGCCCUAAUACUGUCCUGCCAAUUUAGUAAUUGUGUAGGAUAGAGCAUCCCUUGGUGUGAAGGCAUCAAUAAAAUCUAGAUAUCUGCUCUUGCAAUACCCUGCAGGUGUUGCAGAUAUUGAAGGGCCACGUUUAUAUUCGCCAUUUCAUGUUUUCAAACAAAAGUUUUUGUACAUUUCAGAUCCUGACUGGGACUGCAAACUCCUCUGGCAAAAGGAAAUGGACGUCCACAUCUGGAAGUGGUGGUAACACAUUUGGAUACCAAGUUGAUAUUUAAAGAUUUUUGCUUUUAAAAACUGCAGUUUAAUAGUGCUGGAUUAAUAACAGCAUCUAUGUAUGUGUCUGAUGGCACAGUCAAUCAACAGUUACAGACGCAGGGCUCCAUCUGAGCCAAGAAACUGGACAACAUCAAUGUCUGACAUAUAAAAUCUGUAUGAAAGUCAAGGUGAAGGUGGGGAACCCCUCCAAUUAAAUGACUCUUUGGAUGGGGACUCUUAAUUUCACAACACAGAGUAUAACUUCAUAGUGAAUUUUCCAGUAAACAACUUCACUUUCUAUUGGAAGACCCAGAUCAGUUCCCUGCAGUAUUCACAACUGUACACCAUUGUCACAGCAGUAUAGAUGGCUUAUGUGAAAAAUAUGAAUAAAACACUCAUCAAUACCUUCAUAUCUUAAAAGCUUCUAUCUCAUGUUCAGAAGUGCCUUAAGUUUAACUGACUUUGAAUUUCAUUUAAUAAUUUUUUAAUAUUUUGAUUGCCUCUUUAUGUCUCAAGCAUCUAGGUACAAUGAGAACAAGUGUUACAUGACCAUCUAGCUCUCCAUAGAUUACAGGAUAGAUUAUAAGUGCUCUGCUAAGUUAAAAAAUGUUGGUAUAGGAAAAACAAAAAUCAGACUUGGUUAACUGUCUAAUGAGAGCUUAAAAAAAUUUCAGAGAGAAUCACUGGAUUUAUUAACUAUAUAAUAUUAGUUGCUCCCUGUUGUCUGUGUUACUGAAUCACCAUGCUGCCUGAAAGACAGUUAUCAACCCAGAAAUAUUUUCAUCCAAGGGUUUAGACUGCAACAACUGUGAGGACACGUGGAAGAUUCUUCAGUCAUUAUCUAACCGUUCCGUCCCCAUGGUCAUGGAGACUCGGCAAUUCCUGGGGGCUGUCAAACUGAUUACACGCAGCAAACCAGCCGGAGCGUCUCUGCCUGCUGCUCAGAGUAAGCACUGAUAUGCCAGUCAGACUUUACUAUCAAGUACAUCCUUAUGUGUUCUCGAGAUGUUUUGCAGCCUUCACCUCACUGGAGCACUAAGUAAUUUAAAAGCUUUCAUAUACUUUAAAAAUUUUUGUCUUGUACUUCAAGUGGGGGAUCUUUGUUCCUAAUAUACAGCCUGUGCCUGCAAGUUCUUUGUGGAGGAGUAGGCUCCCCCCAUAGAUGUGUAAUUCUUAAGCAGCUGUUUGCAUUUCAGCAGCAGGUAAAGUGAUCCUUGUUUCACAUUUUUCUACAAUAAUUUCUGUCAAGGCUGUGAGUUCUUGGGGAUGGAAGGUGCUGUAAAAAUGUAAGUUGCUAUUAAUUAUAUUGAUUUGCAUAACUUUACGUAUGCUCAUUUUGCAUGGCACAAAUAUUCAGAAGGAAAUUUACUCUUCACACAUUGCAUUGUAUUUGAGAGGAUUUAGCACAUUUUCCUGUUUCACUUGCCAAAUCAGCGGUCUGUGUUUAAAAUUCACAGCUGACUUGACAUUCCAGAAACUAAGCAUGAUUACGAGUUAUGUCUCUGUCUUGCAGCAGCAUACCUAGCUAAGGAAAGAAAAAUUGUGAGAUCUGAGCUUUUUACAUUAAGGAGCAAAUCUGAGAUCAUCUUUGUGAAAAGGCUUUGGUUUUUUCUAUUCUUAAGAGAACAUGUAUGAUAUUAUCUUAUUUUGAAUCAGUUACAGAGCAGGAUGGUAGUCCCCUUGUCCUGGCAAAACUCCAGUAUGGUGACUAUAUUCUUAUUAUGCAAGUCCCCCUGAAGUUUGGGCUGGAGAACUUCUUUCUUUACUUCCUAUAUUUACCUGAAAAAUAAGAUUGCUAUUUAACAGCAGUCAUGUUCCACAUAGCAGUAAGUAAAGUGAUUUCUGCAAAUACCUUUCCCUAUUUUGGAAUCCUUCAGAAUCAAAAUAAUUGUAUAUAUUUAAGAUAUUACUGCUACACUCUAUGUGAAUUCUAAGGCCAUUAAUUAUUAUCAACUGCCCCCCCCCCAAACCCAAGAUACCUAUAAAGGAAAAUGGAAACAUCCUCUUCACUUGUCUGACAAAGUCACUGCCAUCCUGAUGGCUGCAAAGAUCUAACUCCCUUACUUGUCAGCAUUGGAGUACUCUUGCAGUGAGUUUGAAAGAUACCAGAUACAAUAUAUUUUUGCAGCUUUAACCACACAACCUAAAGUUCAAACAAGAGCAGGAAUAUUUCCUCUGUAACAUUGAGGGAAAAGAGCUAUUUGUGAUGUAGGCGGAAAAGGUAUUUAGAUAGUAUAAUUCAGGAAAAAAUGUUACUGUCCUAUUACAUUUGAUGCAAUCAGAACUGAGAAAAGCCUUUAAGGAGAAGGUGAGAGAAUGGGGACAUCACCUUCUCUAAUUACAUCACCAUAUCCCAUAUAUCAUAGGAGUAUAACUGUACACUCUAACCCUGCAACAGUUAUUCAAGGACUGAAACUGCCUUAGAUGUCAGUUGCAGGUAAUGAAAAAUAUUGGAAGGCAGUGAAAGGAGGUGACUGAAUAUUUGUAUCUAUUAAACUCCUAAUAUUUAUAUUUUUAUAGUAUCAGGUAUAUUAAACACAUAGUUGCCUAUGAGGUGUCAUGUGUUCUUUCUGAAAAAAUCUUGUAAAACAGCAGAUAAUUCAUGUAACACCAAGGCUUUCUAGUACCUAGAUGCCAUUUUCUUUCUUUUUCCAAUAAAACUACAUAGACAUUCGGAUACCAAAACAGAAGAACAGUUUCAGACUGAGCUGAGACUUGUGCUGCUACUUGCUUCUUCACAAAUAUUUGAGUCAUGUUCCUCCUGAGCAUACAUGUUAACAGUGCAGCAAGAACAAACAGUAAAUCAAUUCACCUGCAAAAGCUGCUGUGUGCUCUGCCCUCAUCCUUCCUAGGGCUCAGAAUCUAUUCUAACUCAAUGGCUUAGUUUUACUUCUUUACAUCUCUAUAAAGCAAGAUGCAAAAAGCUAUUGACCUGUUCUGGGAGGAGAGUGCAGAGAGGACAUUAUUCUGUGAAUUAUUGUCAAAUUCUUUGAGCCAAAUCCCAGGAACAUGUAAGCACCUGUUGUUUUGAGACAUUUCAUUAAAAUGUAGCCAGAAUUUAGACCA